AAGAAAACCCUCAAAGAGCACAAGAAACAUAGGUGCCUGACACAGUUGACAGAGGGCUGACAACCCUCUAAUACAGCUGCUGGUGCACUCAGGUUAUCACAAACUGUUGAGCAGAGUUCCUGUGCUAUACCAAUGGGGAACAUGGGCUCUUACAGCACCUGAAAGGGCAGCAGCCUGGACAUGAACACCAAUUGCACGCUGGAGAGUCUGUGGAAGGAGGCGUCCCAGCCUGGGUGAAAUAUACGUAGAACCCCCAUGUUUAUCCUGAAAGCAAAAUCUCUGCUUAUAA
Molecule: long non-coding RNA, 289 nt
Organism: Lagenorhynchus albirostris (white-beaked dolphin)
Lineage: Eukaryota; Metazoa; Chordata; Mammalia; Artiodactyla; Delphinidae
Exons: 3
Source: RefSeq, a predicted model, not a curated record